UAAAUAAAUAGUUACAUUGCUCAUCUUCUAGCUUUCAGCCACUUCUGUGCAUUCACAGUGGCAGCAAAGUUUUUUAUUUUAUUUUAUCUUAUUUAUUAUUAUAAAACUGAGGUGCUUAUAACUCUAUUUAUUUGACUAAUAUAUACAAUAAUAUCUUGAACAUCAUCUACCAAUUAUAAAACUGAGGUGCUUAUAACUCUAUUUAUAAUUAAUCAUAUAAAUUAUGACAUUCUUCUUUUGUAUAUGUAGGCAAAGAGUAAAAUAUUUCGGGCAAUGAGGAAAAAGCAAACCCUCUUACACACCAUGAGUCGUAAAGGUUAUGCACGAUGAAGGAAGGAAGGAAAAUAUAGAACUAUACAUUUCAGAACAUGGUGACAAUAUCUCCUACUUCUUUCUUAAAGACACAAAUUGAUUACAAGGUCAUAAACAUGGACCGAUGGACGGGUUUCUAUCGGUUUUGCAAUGAGUUCCUUGCUAUUCAAAUGUUGAGAGAAGACAUGGGUGCCUCACCCUUACUCAUCAUUAUAGGUGGUGGUUUUGCCAGCAUGGCAGCUACUCAGGUCCUUCAUGAUGCUUCAUUUUAGGUAUUUGUUA
Camellia sinensis is the source of this 594-nucleotide non-coding RNA. Lineage: Eukaryota; Viridiplantae; Streptophyta; Magnoliopsida; Ericales; Theaceae. The record is from RefSeq and is a predicted model, not a curated record.